RNAcentral lists this transfer RNA (73 nucleotides) under Canis lupus familiaris (dog). It matches the Rfam family "tRNA". Rfam says of the family: Transfer RNA (tRNA) molecules are approximately 80 nucleotides in length. Their secondary structure includes four short double-helical elements and three loops (D, anti-codon, and T loops). Lineage: Eukaryota; Metazoa; Chordata; Mammalia; Carnivora; Canidae. The record is from Rfam by way of RNAcentral. RNAcentral also lists the same sequence under 1 other name.
GCCUGGCUAGCUCAGUCACUAGAGUAUGGGACUUUUGAUCUCAGGGUUGUGAGUUCAAGCCCCACAUUGGGCA